Molecule: ribosomal RNA, 484 nt
Filed under: uncultured bacterium
Lineage: Bacteria
Description: partial 16S ribosomal RNA
Rfam family: Bacterial small subunit ribosomal RNA
Source: RNAcentral
AUUGAACGCUGGCGGCAGGCCUAACACAUGCAAGUCGAGCGGAUGAAGGGAGCUUGCUCCUGGAUUCAGCGGCGGACGGGUGAGUAAUGCCUAGGAAUCUGCCUGGUAGUUGGGGAUAACGUCCGGAAACGGGCGCUAAUACCGCAUACGUCCUGAGGUAGAAAGUGGGGGAUCUUCGGACCUCACGCUAUCAGAUGAGCCUAGGUCGGAUUAGCUAGUUGGUGGGGUAAAGGCCUACCAAGGCGACGAUCCGUAACUGGUCUGAGAGGAUGAUCAGUCACACUGGAACUGAGACACGGUCCAGACUCCUACGGGAGGCAGCAGUGGGGAAUAUUGGACAAUGGGCGAAAGCCUGAUCCAGCAAUGCCGCGUGUGUGAAGAAGGUCUUCGGAUUGUAAAGCACUUUAAGUUGGGAGGAAGGGAAGUAAGUUAAUACCUUGCUGUUUUGACGUUACCAACAGAAUAAGCACCGGCUAACUUCGUG